This 276-nucleotide long non-coding RNA is filed under the name Capsicum annuum. Its description in RNAcentral is "long non-coding RNA (CANN_LNC001249)". Lineage: Eukaryota; Viridiplantae; Streptophyta; Magnoliopsida; Solanales; Solanaceae. The record is from RNAcentral.
AAGUCUAAGAACUUCAAGAAACUCAACCCAGGUAUGCAUAGUGUUCGUUCGUAAACUUCUUUCGUCCAUGAAUCCUAAGAAUUUCUUUUCUAGAAUUAUGAUUAUGGAUUUUCUUUUUGAAUUUGAUGUUGGGAUGCUAUUGUUCAUGUUUAUAAGGAGUAAUUGAAUUCUAUUCCAUGUUAAGUGAUAAAUUCCUUAUGGGUUUGGUUAGUAUAGAUAUAGAUUCAUGCAAACCUAUGACUAAACCCUUAAAUGAUAAAAUUAGAAUUGAAUCAU